RNAcentral lists this long non-coding RNA (2735 nucleotides) under Triticum aestivum (bread wheat). Its description in RNAcentral is "long non-coding RNA (TAES_LNC007581)". Lineage: Eukaryota; Viridiplantae; Streptophyta; Magnoliopsida; Poales; Poaceae. The record is from RNAcentral.
CUUGGGAAGGAUGUGACAGGGAUGUCCAUGUUUCAUAUUGUGCUCCUCCACCUCCAAUAUACAUGAACCUGAAUUACAUAAUGCAAAGAAACAAAAUCAUAAUUAGGCCAUCCAACUGAGAGUUAAACAGAUGAGUGUGCAGCAAUAAUCUUGGAAAAACAACAAAAAAUUACAGCUAGAAGAACCAGACUAUUUGUCAACUUAAAAUGUGUUACAUAUAUGUCUUUACCGUCUUUCCGAGAUACUCUACAUUCAUUCGUCAAAGUGGAAACUGAACUAUCUGUUGGUCAAAUAAUCCAGGAGAUGAUUAAAUAAAUAAGCAUCUACAGAUAAGAUGCACGAAUGGAGCUGGACAGUAGGGUACUACUUGCAGUGAUGAUCUGCAAAAAAAUUUGUGGGCCACACUUUCAAAUAGAUUCUUCUUUAUUCCAAUGAUAACAGUGCGACCUGAAUAAUUUUUGUCGUAGUUAUAGAAAGAUAAUAAAGUAGUAUAUCUGACCAUCAAAAUAAUAAAAGAGUGGUAUCUAUAUGUUCUAUAAAAACCUUGGGCAUAUUAAGCCACAAGAAGCUAUUCGAAAUUAGUAUAAUAAGCAUAUAAAGACCACACUCUAGAUUAUAUUCUUUUUUAAUCCAAUGGCAACUUGCUAUGAUCAUGGAUCACCUGCAUAUUUUUUCAGGCACUUAUAGGAAGAUAUUAAAAUAGUAUGUUCGACCAUAAAAAACAGUGGUAUAUACAUGUUCUGUAACAACCUUGGGCAUAUUAAACCACCAGAAACCAUUAUAAAUGCAUACAAUGACCAUAUAAAGACCACAUUCUAAAAUAUAUAUUUUUAAUCCAAUGGUAACAUGCUAUGAUCACCUGCAUAAUUUUUGUGGCACUUAUAGGACGACAUUAAAAUAGUAUGUUUUACCAUCGAUGAACUAACAAAACAGUGAUAACUUAUAUGUUCUAUAAAAUUAACUCCGCUGUCAAGUUAACAGACACAUGACUAUCUUCCUAAAAAAUAUGAACCCGAUAUUAUUAAAUAAACUAUGGUUCAAAUGUCUACUCCUAAAAAAAAUCAGUAUCCGUUAUCUGGAAUUAAGGAAUCAAAUGGUAAAGUGGUAACAGGAUAGGUGAUAUUGAGGAGGUUGAUGGUGAGUUAGGUUUAACGGGUGCCCCUCAUGGAGUUAGGUGACAGGCUGAAUAGCGACCUUGUUCGGCUCCGUGGUUGCUUAGACAUAAUGGCAUCGCCUUGCUCAUGCGCGGAGGCGAGCUAUAAAUCGGUAAGUCAACCAACCGCCUCAAUCCUUAAAAUACCAAAAAGAGUUCGAUUUCUAGAUAUAAUUCAUUCAUGACACAUUGCUAACCAUUUAUAUUACAUAAUGGUAUGUUGGAUGACAUCUACAUGUUUUUUGCUACAAAUCCGCGUCUGAGGCAUAUCCUCGAAGUAAAACCAUGAACACGUAAUGCAAAAUAGUAGAAGCUGAAAAAGAAAAGUACCUGCACAGACCAGCAGCGGUGAACCAACCUAGAGGAGCAACAAUCGUAGAUCCUGUGUUGUUCCCAGCAGAACAGCACCACCAGCCACCAAUCAGCAAUGAAGAACAACAAACUUAACAAAUCCUAUCCACACAGCAAAUCACAGUAAAUAGACCUCGAUAAGCAUGCAGACAGGUCAAAGCGAGUACAAGACCAAGCAAGGGAGCAAGAAGGAACCUCUUCCAUCUCCGUCAGGCAGCCAAGGUGAUAACAAGUGCACGAUGAACAUGUCACCGCCCCCCGAUCCAGUUGUGGGAUAACGAACGAAUCAGGAACAAACACAUAAUAGAUAGCUAGGAGAGGAUCGAACGAGGGCAAGAGAACUCCUGCCUUGGCGCGAGGUGCCUAGCUCAUGACUGGAGGAGAAGCGAGCAAGUCAGCAGGCCAACCAAUCAAAUGAAAUGACCAUGUUGUCAAUACCGACGAUCAUUGCUCCCUCCAACUCAAGGUCACCGCUCUCUGGUAUCCUCCUCAGCCUGCCCAGUCUCGCACCCUCAGUGUCAAAUGUAGCAUCCAGCCCUGCACCACAACCAUAAAAAGCUACAGAAUUGACAAUUCGUUCAUAUCAAUCAAGUGAUGAGAUAAUCAGAAUCAUCGCAUUUUAAGAGACCAUGGACCGUAUGCUAUUACUUUGGCAACCUAUAGGAGUUAUAACAACAAUAUGCACUUUAUACUUUGUAGUGAAAUUGUGCCUUUAUGCUUUGUAGUGAAAUUGCGGUUAUCCUGGGCAACAACUACACUUUGUUUUGAUGUAUAUUUACUCUGUAUGCUCUGUACUGAACUUAUUUAUAUUGGUCAGCAACUAUACCUUGCUCUUGAUAUGUCUUUGUAAACACAUUUAUUCACGGUUACUCUGUACUAAACAUAUCCCUUGAACCGGAAGUUUCGUUGUAUUGUUGAAUAUGUGCGCUAAACCAUGCUUCCUACUAACCGAUCAUUACCUAUUUGACCACAUCGUUGGGACCGGCACCCCCGCGCAAAGGCUCCUCCUACACCUACAUAUGACUGGAUGCUGGCGUUUACACCAUGGUUCUGACAUUAGUUAGGCACUGAACUAUGUUCAUCCAAAACUAGUGAUGGAGCAGCACCUCACGGUCACGAUAGAGAUAAAAAUUACCUGCUCAACACAGACAAUGGGAAUUAUCCAGCAGAUCUGGAGGACUGCACAUCUCCCCUUGGGAUCCAUCCCCUGCAAACAAACAAAUCAACAUAU